AGAGUUUGAUCCUGGCUCAGGAUGAACUCCGGCGGUGUGCCUAAUACAUGCGAGUCGUACGCACUGGCCCAACUGAUUGAUGGUGCUUGCACCUGAUUGACGUUGGAUCACCAGUGAGUGGCGGACGGGUGAGUAACACGUAGGUAACCUGCCCCGGAGCGGGGGAUAACAUUUGGAAACAGAUGCUAAUACCGCAUAACAACAAAAGUCACAUGGCUUUUGUUUGAAAGAUGGCUUUGGCUAUCACUCUGGGAUGGACCUGCGGUGCAUUAGCUAGUUGGUAAGGUAACGGCUUACCAAGGCGAUGAUGCAUAGCCGAGUUGAGAGACUGAUCGGCCACAAUGGAACUGAGACACGGUCCAUACUCCUACGGGAGGCAGCAGUAGGGAAUCUUCCACAAUGGGCGCAAGCCUGAUGGAGCAACACCGCGUGAGUGAAGAAGGGUUUCGGCUCGUAAAGCUCUGUUGUUGGAGAAGAACGUGCGUGAGAGUAACUGUUCACGCAGUGACGGUAUCCAACCAGAAAGUCACGGCUAACUACGUGCCAGCAGCCGCGGUAAUACGUAGGUGGCAAGCGUUAUCCGGAUUUAUUGGGCGUAAAGCGAGCGCAGGCGGUUGCUUAGGUCUGAUGUGAAAGCCUUCGGCUUAACCGAAGAAGUGCAUCGGAAACCGGGCGACUUGAGUGCAGAAGAGGACAGUGGAACUCCAUGUGUAGCGGUGGAAUGCGUAGAUAUAUGGAAGAACACCAGUGGCGAAGGCGGCUGUCUGGUCUGCAACUGACGCUGAGGCUCGAAAGCAUGGGUAGCGAACAGGAUUAGAUACCCUGGUAGUCCAUGCCGUAAACGAUGAGUGAUAGGUG
This 858-nucleotide ribosomal RNA is filed under the name uncultured bacterium. RNAcentral describes it as "bacterial SSU rRNA". It matches the Rfam family "Bacterial small subunit ribosomal RNA", at positions 8 to 822 of the family's 1533-position model. The record is from RNAcentral.